RNAcentral lists this ribosomal RNA (443 nucleotides) under uncultured bacterium. Its description in RNAcentral is "partial 16S ribosomal RNA". It matches the Rfam family "Bacterial small subunit ribosomal RNA", at positions 338 to 795 of the family's 1533-position model. The record is from RNAcentral.
CCUACGGUAGGCUGCAGUGGGGCAUAUUGGGCAAUGGGCGCAAGCCUGACCCAGCAACGCCGCGGGAAGGAAGAAGGCGUUCGGGUUGUAAACUUCUUUUGUCAGGGACGAAGCAAGUGACGGUACCUGACGAAUAAGCCACGGCGAACUACGUGGCAGCAGCCGCGGUAAUACGGAGGUGGCAAGCGUUAUCCGGAUUUACGGGGUGUAAAGGGCGUGUAGGCGGGACUGCAAUUCAGAUGUGAAAACCACGGGCUCAACCUGUGGCCUGCAUUUGAAACUGUAGUUCUUGAGUACUGGAGAGGCAGACGGAAUUCCUAGUGUAGCGGUGAAAUGCGUAGAUAUUAGGAGGAACACCAGUGGCGAAGGCGGUCUGCUGGACAGCAACUGACGCUGAGGCGCGAAAGCGUGGGGAGCAAACAGGAUUAGAUACCCCAGUAGUC